GGCUCUGUGGCGCAAUAGAAAGCGCGUUGGACUUCCAAUUCAAAGGUUGUGGGUUCGAAACCCAUCAGAGUCG
Molecule: non-coding RNA, 73 nt
Organism: Chiloscyllium plagiosum (whitespotted bambooshark)
Lineage: Eukaryota; Metazoa; Chordata; Chondrichthyes; Orectolobiformes; Hemiscylliidae
Source: the annotation of a RefSeq genome assembly